This 2929-nucleotide ribosomal RNA is filed under the name Escherichia coli. Its description in RNAcentral is "23S ribosomal RNA". It matches the Rfam family "Bacterial large subunit ribosomal RNA". The record is from RNAcentral. Lineage: Bacteria; Pseudomonadati; Pseudomonadota; Gammaproteobacteria; Enterobacterales; Enterobacteriaceae.
GGGUUGUGAGGUUAAGCGACUAAGCGUACACGGUGGAUGCCCUGGCAGUCAGAGGCGAUGAAGGACGUGCUAAUCUGCGAUAAGCGUCGGUAAGGUGAUAUGAACCGUUAUAACCGGCGAUUUCCGAAUGGGGAAACCCAGUGUGUUUCGACACACUAUCAUUAACUGAAUCCAUAGGUUAAUGAGGCGAACCGGGGGAACUGAAACAUCUAAGUACCCCGAGGAAAAGAAAUCAACCGAGAUUCCCCCAGUAGCGGCGAGCGAACGGGGAGCAGCCCAGAGCCUGAAUCAGUGUGUGUGUUAGUGGAAGCGUCUGGAAAGGCGCGCGAUACAGGGUGACAGCCCCGUACACAAAAAUGCACAUAUUGUGAGCUCGAUGAGUAGGGCGGGACACGUGGUAUCCUGUCUGAAUAUGGGGGGACCAUCCUCCAAGGCUAAAUACUCCUGACUGACCGAUAGUGAACCAGUACCGUGAGGGAAAGGCGAAAAGAACCCCGGCGAGGGGAGUGAAAAAGAACCUGAAACCGUGUACGUACAAGCAGUGGGAGCCUCUUUUAUGGGGUGACUGCGUACCUUUUGUAUAAUGGGUCAGCGACUUAUAUUCUGUAGCAAGGUUAACCGAAUAGGGGAGCCGAAGGGAAACCGAGUCUUAACUGGGCGUUAAGUUGCAGGGUAUAGACCCGAAACCCGGUGAUCUAGCCAUGGGCAGGUUGAAGGUUGGGUAACACUAACUGGAGGACCGAACCGACUAAUGUUGAAAAAUUAGCGGAUGACUUGUGGCUGGGGGUGAAAGGCCAAUCAAACCGGGAGAUAGCUGGUUCUCCCCGAAAGCUAUUUAGGUAGCGCCUCGUGAAUUCAUCUCCGGGGGUAGAGCACUGUUUCGGCAAGGGGGUCAUCCCGACUUACCAACCCGAUGCAAACUGCGAAUACCGGAGAAUGUUAUCACGGGAGACACACGGCGGGUGCUAACGUCCGUCGUGAAGAGGGAAACAACCCAGACCGCCAGCUAAGGUCCCAAAGUCAUGGUUAAGUGGGAAACGAUGUGGGAAGGCCCAGACAGCCAGGAUGUUGGCUUAGAAGCAGCCAUCAUUUAAAGAAAGCGUAAUAGCUCACUGGUCGAGUCGGCCUGCGCGGAAGAUGUAACGGGGCUAAACCAUGCACCGAAGCUGCGGCAGCGACACUAUGUGUUGUUGGGUAGGGGAGCGUUCUGUAAGCCUGUGAAGGUGUGCUGUGAGGUAUGCUGGAGGUAUCAGAAGUGCGAAUGCUGACAUAAGUAACGAUAAAGCGGGUGAAAAGCCCGCUCGCCGGAAGACCAAGGGUUCCUGUCCAACGUUAAUCGGGGCAGGGUGAGUCGACCCCUAAGGCGAGGCCGAAAGGCGUAGUCGAUGGGAAACAGGUUAAUAUUCCUGUACUUGGUGUUACUGCGAAGGGGGGACGGAGAAGGCUAUGUUGGCCGGGCGACGGUUGUCCCGGUUUAAGCGUGUAGGCUGGUUUUCCAGGCAAAUCCGGAAAAUCAAGGCUGAGGCGUGAUGACGAGGCACUACGGUGCUGAAGCAACAAAUGCCCUGCUUCCAGGAAAAGCCUCUAAGCAUCAGGUAACAUCAAAUCGUACCCCAAACCGACACAGGUGGUCAGGUAGAGAAUACCAAGGCGCUUGAGAGAACUCGGGUGAAGGAACUAGGCAAAAUGGUGCCGUAACUUCGGGAGAAGGCACGCUGAUAUGUAGGUGAAGCGACUUGCUCGUGGAGCUGAAAUCAGUCGAAGAUACCAGCUGGCUGCAACUGUUUAUUAAAAACACAGCACUGUGCAAACACGAAAGUGGACGUAUACGGUGUGACGCCUGCCCGGUGCCGGAAGGUUAAUUGAUGGGGUCAGCGCAAGCGAAGCUCUUGAUCGAAGCCCCGGUAAACGGCGGCCGUAACUAUAACGGUCCUAAGGUAGCGAAAUUCCUUGUCGGGUAAGUUCCGACCUGCACGAAUGGCGUAAUGAUGGCCAGGCUGUCUCCACCCGAGACUCAGUGAAAUUGAACUCGCUGUGAAGAUGCAGUGUACCCGCGGCAAGACGGAAAGACCCCGUGAACCUUUACUAUAGCUUGACACUGAACAUUGAGCCUUGAUGUGUAGGAUAGGUGGGAGGCUUUGAAGUGUGGACGCCAGUCUGCAUGGAGCCGACCUUGAAAUACCACCCUUUAAUGUUUGAUGUUCUAACGUUGACCCGUGAUCCGGGUUGCGGACAGUGUCUGGUGGGUAGUUUGACUGGGGCGGUCUCCUCCUAAAGAGUAACGGAGGAGCACGAAGGUUGGCUAAUCCUGGUCGGACAUCAGGAGGUUAGUGCAAUGGCAUAAGCCAGCUUGACUGCGAGCGUGACGGCGCGAGCAGGUGCGAAAGCAGGUCAUAGUGAUCCGGUGGUUCUGAAUGGAAGGGCCAUCGCUCAACGGAUAAAAGGUACUCCGGGGAUAACAGGCUGAUACCGCCCAAGAGUUCAUAUCGACGGCGGUGUUUGGCACCUCGAUGUCGGCUCAUCACAUCCUGGGGCUGAAGUAGGUCCCAAGGGUAUGGCUGUUCGCCAUUUAAAGUGGUACGCGAGCUGGGUUUAGAACGUCGUGAGACAGUUCGGUCCCUAUCUGCCGUGGGCGCUGGAGAACUGAGGGGGGCUGCUCCUAGUACGAGAGGACCGGAGUGGACGCAUCACUGGUGUUCGGGUUGUCAUGCCAAUGGCACUGCCCGGUAGCUAAAUGCGGAAGAGAUAAGUGCUGAAAGCAUCUAAGCACGAAACUUGCCCCGAGAUGAGUUCUCCCUGACCCUUUAAGAGUCCUGAAGGAACGUUGAAGACGACGACGUUGAUAGGCCGGGUGUGUAAGCGCAGCGAUGCGUUGAGCUAACCGGUACUAAUGAACCGUGAGGCUUAACCUUACAACGCCGAAGCUGUU